AGAGAUGGAGUGCAUCUGCCCCAAGUGGAGGCAGCAGCAGCAGCAGGAGGGAGGUGUCGGGGCAGUGGGGCCGCAGGGCCAGUCCUCAGGUUGGUUACUCAGUUGUCCUCCCUGGUCUGUCCUCAAGGCGUGAUUUGGGCUGGGGUUCUGGCUGCCGUCCAGCCCUCCCUGGUUGCUGUGAGCCUGGCUCUCUAGCCAGCCCUAGAAGUCCGUGAGUUAGUUCUCUGUUGCUUGCAACCAAGAACCCUGACAAGAAAGAAAACUGGCUCAGAGAGGCUGAGUAACCUGCUCAAGAUGACACAGCUUGUGGGUGGCUGAGUUGGCCUUCCAACCCAGAUUCCUGUCAUGUUCCUCAAGCCGACAGGUUCAGCUUGGUUGUGACCUCUGCUAGAAGCCCUCCCUGGCCUCCCUGUGCACUGAGCUGGUGGUUCCUCCUUUGCGCCCCAGGGAAUGGAAUAAGAAUGGGAUAAGUAUAACACAAUGAGACGAAUGCAGAACCAACUAGAUGUACACCCAACAAUGUGGAUGAACCUUAAAACAGUGCUGCCUGAAGAAGGCAAGAAACAGAAUGAAAUCUGCAGCACAUCAUUCAUAUAAACUAAAAAUACAUGCACAGAGAAAGGCCACUUUUUUUUUUUUGGAGACAAAGUUUCGCUCUUGUCACUCAGGCUGGAGUGCAAUGGCACGAUCUCGGCUCACUGCAACGUCCACCUCUAGGGUUCAAGCGACUGUCCUGCCUCAGCUUCUAGAGUAGCUGGGAUUAUAGGAGCCCACCACCAUGGCCGGCUAAUUUUUGUCUUUUUAGUAGAGACGGGGUUUCACCAUGUUGCCCAGGCUGGUCUCAAACUCCUGACCUCAGGUGAUCCACGUGCCUCGGCCUCCGAAAGUGCUGGGAUUACAGGCGUGAGCCACCGCACCCAGUCAGCAACGUAUGUUUUGUAGAGACACAGACAAAGAUGUGAUGUCAAACACACUAAUGUGGUUGCCUCAUUUAUGGAUGGGGGACUGGGCUGGUGAAUGAGGAUUAAAGGAAUAAAUAAAUAAAACAAGAGAGGGCCUCUGUACAGAACGGUGAUGACAGCGUGCCGUCGAGGAGAAUGAUGAACUCAAACUUUUGCACCUGAGAGCCAAACAAAAGCUCAAAACCAAAAUCUCUCUUAGAAAUGAUGCCACUGACUUUAGGAUGGCACUCAUAUCUGUGUGAGUGGGAGAGAGAAGGGUUUGGGGCAGGGAUUUGACUGUAGCUGUAAUGUUUUAUUCCUUUAAAAAAGAUAAGAUAAUCUGAAACAAAAUGUUAAUAUCUGUUGAAUCUGGGGAGAGGCUAUGAGGGUUUCUGUUAAACCAUUUUGUGUACAUUUUAAAUACAGUCAUGCAUGAGUUAAUGAUGGGGAAUAAGUUCUUAGAGAUACGUUGUUAAGCAGUUUUGUUAUUGUGUGAACAUUAUCGAGUGUACUUACACAAACUUAGGAUGGAAUAGCUGACUAUAUAACUUAGACUAUAUGGUCUAGCCUAUUGCUUGAAGGCUGCAAACCCAUACUCCAUGUUACUGUACUGAAUAAUGAAGACAAGUGUAAUACGAUGGCAAGUAUUUGUGUAUCUAAACAUAGAAAAGGUACAGUAGAAAUGUGGUAUCGUAGUCUUAUGAGAGUACUGUUGUAUAUGCAAUGCUUUGUUGACUGAAACAUCAUUAUGUGGUUCAUGACUGUAUAUCAUAAUUUUAAAAAAUAUUUUAAGAGGUUGCCAAUCAAGACACUACAAACUAAUUUUGUGGCUUUUGUCAAAAUUCAUUUCUUUCUUUCUUUUUUUUUUUUUUGUUUUGAGACAGGGAUCACUCAAGCAAUCCUUCUGCCUUAGCCUCCCAAGUUGGUGGGACUACAGUCUUGUAUGCCACCACGCUUGGCUAAUUUUUUUUUUUUUUAAAUUAUUGAAUAGAGAUGGGGUCUUGCUAUGUUGCCCAGGCUGAUCUCAAACUUCUGGACUCAAGUGAUCCUCCCUUCUUGUUCUCCCUAAGUGGGAUUACAGAUGUGAGCCACUGUGCCUGGCCCUGGCUAAAUUUUAAAUUAUUUUUGUAGUGACAGGGUUUUGCUAUGUUGCCCAGACUGUCUUGAACUCCUGGCCUCAUGUAAUCCUCCUGCCUUGGCCUCCCAAAGUAGAAUUCAUUUCUGUUGCUAGGUUGGCCUCUGAACAGUUUUACAGAGCUGAAUGCUCUAGUCUUCUGUGACACAGUCUUUUUCUUUUUUUUUUUUUUUUUUUUGAGACGGAGUCUCACUCUGUCACCCAGGCUGGAGUGCAUUCGGCUCAAUCUCGGCUUACUGCAACCUCUGCCUCCUGGGUUCAAGGAAUUCUCUUGCCUCAGCCUCCCGAGUAGCUGGGAUUACAGGCAUGCACCACCAUGCCCGGCUAAUUUUUGUAGUUUUAGUAGAGACGGAGUUUCAUCAUGUGGCCAAGUGGUCUUGAACUCCUGACCUCAAGUGAUCCACCCACCUCAGCCUCCCAAAGUGCUGGGAUUACAGGCAUGAGCCACCAUACCCGAUGACACAGUCUUAAUAAGGAGAAGAAUAUGAAGAAUUUGACUUUUUAUUGAUGCUAAAAGCAUUAAUAAAUAAGAUCUUUGGAAAAAUGUGGAAAAUGGAAAAUGUCACUGCCUGCUGUCUGUAGGGUGAAAUGAAAUGGCUAAAGAGCUAUAGGAGCAUUUUGUUCUCACUUGUUGGGUCAGAUCAACUUCCCAGGACUUUUUGGGAAGAUCACAAAUCCUAGACAAUCGUACUGCACUGCUCUAGGAAUUCUUGGAGGGCUGGAAGUCUCACAAUUAGGGCUUUUUCUCUGGGCACCAACCUGACACGCAUGGCAAGGGGGCUGAGCAGUUGUCUAUGGUAUAGAUGCUAUAUUCUAUGACUCCUGUUGGCCCUAGCCAUAGCUGAUUGGUAUAGAGGGUCAAAGCUGGGCCAAUCAGAUUAUCUGUCUCAAGAUUCUGGAAUUCUGAACUGGGGCAGAGACAGGGAGCUGUGGGAAUGUGGUUGCUUUAAUGGGAAUGUUCUGGUGAGGAGAUGCAUUGACUCCAGAUGCUUACAUCCUUUCCUGAGGCUCAAUUGUUCAACCUUUUCUUGAAAUUUAGGGCCAAACAAAAGGUCAAAACCAAAAUCACUCUUAGAAAUGAUGCCACCGACUUUAGGAUGGCACUCAUAUCUGUGUGAGUGGGAGAGAGAAGGGCUUGGGGCAGGGAUUUGACUGUAGUUGUAAUGUUUUAUUCAUUAUUGUGAAUUUUGUCAUAUUAUUGUGAUUUGUCAGGGUUGAUUUCUAUUACUUGUCCUAUGGAGUAGGUUACUAUAUUUUUGUCUUCUCACCUUCCCCUGGUGCUGCUGUUAAUACAUAUGGUAUCUUUAUUGAGUUAGAAAAAGAUGCCUGACUCUGGGUGGACAAGCAAGAAAAAGCUGUUCUUUCCUUCAGGCGGACACAGCCUCUAACGAGGGUGGAAGGUUUGGCCAGUGGAGCACGGGCUGGGUUUCAGGCCAUACUCUGCUCACUUCCUUGGCCCAGCCCUUUUGUGCAUUGCACAGAUGACAUCCCCAUUUAUGGCGGCCUUACACCUGUCCACCAUGUGCUUUUGGGAUGAUCUGUCUUCUGCAGCUAGGCAUUGUUCAGAAUAUGAAGGGCUAUUCCAGACAAGAUUCACGGGACAUGGACUAUCAUGCAAGUCCUAUUCUGGACUUUAAGGCUCAUGACAAAGAUGUUAAAAGUCAAACCUGCUCAAAGUCAAGACUUAAAGGAAAUGUAGAAAAACUCUCUGGCCUGAUAAAGUCCACAGAAGCCUCAUCUUCUGAUGAAUGAUCUUCAGGCUUGAAAGGAUGCCUUCCUCCAAACAGGCUGGCAGACAUUCUUGAAAUGUCAAAGGAUAGGCCAGGGGUGGUGGCUCACGCCUGUAAUCCUAGCACUUUGGGAGGCCAAUGUGGGCAGAUUGCCUGAGCUCAGGAGUUCAAGACCAGCCUGGGUAAUGUGGUGAAACCCCAUCUCUACUAAAAUACAAAGAAUUAGCUGGACAUGGUGGUGCGCGCCUGCAGUCCCAGCUACUCGGGAGGCUGAGGCAGGAGAAUCACUUGAGCCCAGGAGGCGGAGGUUGCUGUGAGCCAAGAUUGCACCACUGCACUCCAGCCUGGGUGACAGAGCAAGACUCCAUUUCAAAAAAAAAAGAAAAAAAAGAAAGAAAGAAAGAAAUGCCAAAGGGUACUCUUCCAUCCCCCUGUGAAAAAAACUAAAAAACUAGUGGUGAGAAGUUAAGAGCAAGAUCACAGGAACAGAUGACAAGGAGGUGUCUGAAGGCCACAAUGAGAGUGACAUGGAAACCAGUCAAGGCACUGAUGGCCAUGGGAAGAAAAUGAUCUCAAGGAAGAGAUAAUUCCUUGAGAGGAGGCUGCUCCAGCUCUGAUUUGUUCAUUCAUUUUACAGUCAGGAAGCCACUCCACCCCAGAAGAAGGUAAUAUGAGUCCUACUACCUUUCUGAAAGGAAGGUGAGUACAGAAAAGCAAGACAGUAACUUUCCCAAGCCAGGGAACCCCUGUCUCCCCAACUUCUGCAUCAUGUAGACCAUUUGUGUCUACAACUUACAGGAGGCAGUGUAGACUAGCAGUUGAGAAUGUGAGUCUAGAAUCAGAAUGCCUGGGUUCAAACCUCAACUCUGUCACUUUCCAGCUAUUUGGCCUUGGACAUAUUACUUAAACAUUUGUGUGUUUUAAAACGUGUACACAAUCCUUUGACUCUCUUUCCAUCAAGAAGUGGAGCCUAUGUCCCCUCCCUUUGAACCUGGGUGGAAAUGUGGGAGUGCCUAGACAAAUAGAAUGUGGCAAAAGUGACACUGUGUGAUUUCCAAGGCUAGGUUAGAAAAGACCCUGCAGCUUCUGAUGAUUCCUUUAGGGACACUCAUGUCGGGAGGCUUCAGCUGCUGUGAAAGAAACUCAGCUACCCUGAGGCUGCCUUGUAGAGGGACUGCAUUUAAAGUGAGAGAUUCCUGAGGAGUUCCAGCCAUCCAGCCCCAAGCAGUGUGAACCUCCUAGUCUAGACCCCAGCAUUUGAGCUGACCUCAGCCCCAGCCACCAAUUGACUGCAAACUCAUGAGACACCCUGAGUGAGAACUGCCUAGCUUAGUCUCUGUCAACCCUCAAAUUUCAGGAACAAAAUAAAUGAUUGUUGUUGUCUUAAGACCACUGUUUGGGGAUGGUUUCUUAUCAUGCAAUAGAUAGCUGAUGCAGACUUUUCUAUAACCUAGAAACGGAAUGCUGCCAUCACAGAACCUAAGUCAUGUGGCUUUAGGACUGGGAGAUGGGUAGAGAUUGUAAGGACUUUGAGGAUAUUGUUGAUGGAAGUCUGAUAGUUCUCAAGGAAGUUGCUGGUGAGGGCUUAAAGGAAAGUGAGAAAUUUUUAUUAGAAGCAGGAGGAAAGGGGACAAACCCUUAUUACGUGGUGGAAGAAAGUUAGUAACAUUGUCACUUGAAGCUAUGUGAGCAAUAGAAAAUGUGCCUAAUGAAGGCUGGGCACGGUGGCUCACACCUCUAACCCCAGCACUUUGGGAGGCCGAGGUGGGCAGAUCACAUGAGGUCAGGAGUUCGAGACCAGCCUGGCCAACACGGAGAAAUCCUGUCCCUACUAAAAAUACAAAAAUUAGCUGGGCUUGGUGGCUCAUGCUUGUAAUCCCAGCUACUCGGGAGGCCGAAGCUGCAGAAUCGCUUGAGCCCAGAGGGCAGAGGUUGCAGUGAGCUGAGACUGUGCCACUGCCCUCCAGCCUGGGUGACAGAGUAAGACUCUGUCUCAAAAAAAAAAAGAAAAAAAAGAAAAAUGAAAAAGAAAAUAUGCCUAAUGAACUAAUGGUUUGGGCUAAAACAAUUUUUAAGCAGACUGUUGAAAAUGCUAGUUGGAUUAGAAAAUGCUAGUUGGAUUAUUUUAGCUGUAUAUGAUAAAGACAGAGAAAGAUGAGUUAAAAGGAAGCUUUAACUUUCAAGCAAAAUUUAUAAAACAUAUACAAGAGCCAGGGGCUUGCUGGAUUUGAAAAUAAAUCUGCUUUUCAUUCUCAGCCUCCCAGAUGGCAAAAGAUUCUCAAAGUAUGAAAGGGCUUCAGGACAAAGAUAAAACCCAGAGUGGGACUAUAAGAACCUUUGUUAAAAUCUCAGAAAUAUCUAAGGCUUCAUAAAAUAUUUUGAAUAGACAAAGGCCCUCUAAGUAUUUCAAGAGUGUGCCUCAGUGCUCGCUUCAGCAGCACGUAUACUAAAAUUGGAACAAUACAGAAAAGAUUAGCAUGGCCCCUGUGCAAGGAUGACAUGCAAAUUCAUGAAGCACUUCAUAUUAAAAUAAAAACAAAUUAAAAAUAAAAUGAAAAAGAGUGUGCCUCACAGAUCCUCUUCAUUAAACAACAGGGCUUCUAAGUAUCUUAAGUAAAUCGUUUUACACCAGCCUCACAUUGAGAAUGUAGAGAAUGUUUUCUUGAUGAAAUGUUUGGUUAUAGCUUUUGACUAACAGAGUGAGCCCCAAUAGGAUUCAUGGGAAACCCACACAGUUUUUAAUAGAAUUAUUUUGUCAGAAGCACCACCAGCUUGGGCAAAAAGGGUCAGAAUAGUGUGAAAUGAAAAAAGGCUUUUGGACCCCCAAAAUUCUAUGGGAAGGAAACAAGCUGAAAACUACUCAGUUGGAAACACCAGGUGUAUUGGUCUGUUUUCACACUGCUGAUAAAGACAUACCUGAGACUGGGCAAUUUACAAAAGAAAGAAGUUUAAUUGGACUUACAGUUCCACAUGGCUGGGGAAGCCUCACAAUCAUGGCAGAAGG
This 6810-nucleotide long non-coding RNA is filed under the name Homo sapiens (human). The record is from RNAcentral. Lineage: Eukaryota; Metazoa; Chordata; Mammalia; Primates; Hominidae.